AGUUCACCCUAAUAAAUGCAAGCAUUCUCAGGCGAAGGAGGCCUUUGAAGUUCACCCUAAUAAAUGCAAGCAUUCUCAGGCGAAGGAGGCCUUUGAAGGUACAGGUUUCAAAGACCCUAUACGAUGAUGAUUUUGACCAUUCAGACGGAAACAAUAUGGUCCUCCACCAUUAUUGUAAGUAUUAUCAAUAUUUCCUCCCGAGGAAGUGAAAGCAAAAAUACUAUUAUAGGAUCUGAUAUUUUCCUUAAAUUUAUUACUUUGUCUGCUUCCACUUGGGUAUAAAAGUUCUCG
Molecule: long non-coding RNA, 291 nt
Organism: Asparagus officinalis (garden asparagus)
Lineage: Eukaryota; Viridiplantae; Streptophyta; Magnoliopsida; Asparagales; Asparagaceae
Exons: 3
Source: RefSeq, a predicted model, not a curated record